UACGGAGGGUGCGAGCGUUGUCCGGAAUCACUGGGCGUAAAGGGCGCGUAGGCGGCCACCGCAAGUCGAUUGUGAAAUCUCCGGGCUUAACCCGGAAAGGUCAACCGAUACUGCGGGGCUAGAGUGCAGAAGGGGCAACUGGAAUUCUCGGUGUAGCGGUGAAAUGCGUAGAUAUCGAGAGGAACACCUGCGGCGAAGGCGGGUUGCUGGGCUGACACUGACGCUGAAGUGCGAAAGCUAGGGGAGCGAACGGG
Molecule: ribosomal RNA, 254 nt
Filed under: uncultured bacterium
Lineage: Bacteria
Description: partial 16S ribosomal RNA
Rfam family: Bacterial small subunit ribosomal RNA
Source: RNAcentral